UGCUGAGAAUCGAGCUUGCCAAUUUCCCACCGAACUUUGUUUAUACAGAUAAACUUGAGGGAGUUAUUUCUUUUAAUAGCAACGUGCUUCGAGUCAAGGAUGAUGGUGAAGAAUUUUUGUUUGGCGCUAAUUUAACGG
Molecule: non-coding RNA, 138 nt
Filed under: Protocruzia adhaerens
Lineage: Eukaryota; Ciliophora; Spirotrichea
Source: RNAcentral